This 471-nucleotide ribosomal RNA is filed under the name Klebsiella pneumoniae. RNAcentral's name for it is "bacterial LSU rRNA". It matches the Rfam family "Bacterial large subunit ribosomal RNA", at positions 790 to 1258 of the family's 2925-position model. Lineage: Bacteria; Pseudomonadati; Pseudomonadota; Gammaproteobacteria; Enterobacterales; Enterobacteriaceae. The record is from RNAcentral.
UGAAAAAUUAGCGGAUGACUUGUGGCUGGGGGUGAAAGGCCAAUCAAACCGGGAGAUAGCUGGUUCUCCCCGAAAGCUAUUUAGGUAGCGCCUCGUGAACUCAUCUUCGGGGGUAGAGCACUGUUUCGGCUAGGGGGUCAUCCCGACUUACCAACCCGAUGCAAACUACGAAUACCGAAGAAUGUUAUCACGGGAGACACACGGCGGGUGCUAACGUCCGUCGUGAAGAGGGAAACAACCCAGACCGCCAGCUAAGGUCCCAAAGUCAUGGUUAAGUGGGAAACGAUGUGGGAAGGCACAGACAGCCAGGAUGUUGGCUUAGAAGCAGCCAUCAUUUAAAGAAAGCGUAAUAGCUCACUGGUCGAGUCGGCCUGCGCGGAAGAUGUAACGGGGCUAAACCAUGCACCGAAGCUGCGGCAGCGACACUAUGUGUUGUUGGGUAGGGGAGCGUUCUGUAAGCCUGCGAAGGUG